Molecule: long non-coding RNA, 605 nt
Filed under: Ursus maritimus (polar bear)
Lineage: Eukaryota; Metazoa; Chordata; Mammalia; Carnivora; Ursidae
Description: lncRNA (ENSUMAG00000002305.1)
Source: RNAcentral
CAUGCCUUAUGACCACCAGCGUUCCCACCUGCCUGUCUACCCAUGGUAUAUUUUCUACGUGUUUUUGGCUUUGUUUUAGUUUUCCUUCUGAGUUUGGAAGUGAGAAAACCUAAAAAGGAAGAGUUGCAUGUAUCAUCAAAAACAUAUCAAUGGACUACAGCUGGAAUUCUUAAUUUGGAGACCUACUAGUUACGUGACUGGGAAAAUCACCUCCACCCUCUGGCCUUAUUUUAUUGGGGGAAAUUAAUCAAACCCACCGUUUAGCAUUGUUGGAGAGAUCAGCCACACCGCUUACAAUGCUCCAGCCCAGUGACCGAAAUGCCACCGCUGUUGGACUACACGGGGUCCUGCCUCCCCUCUGUGUCUUGCAGCAUCUGUCUCGGAGGCCAGGUUCAUCUUCUGCUUUCCGUACCUUGGAUAAUAACAAAUUAGGGGAGCAGCUACUGGGGACUGGAUGAGGUCAGAGCAAAGAAGGAGAAGAGCAGGGAAGAGACACAGUAGGAGCCCAUGUGCGAGGCCGGAUUUUGAGGACUGUUUCUGGAAGUGGAGAGAAAACUCUCUCAAAUGGAGCACUGAUCGAGAGGAAGACUGAGGUAGGACAUGAG